GAUUAGCCUGCUGUAGUGGGGGCUCAACCUGCGCUAGCGGAGGAGGUCCGGGUAACUCCCUUCUCUCCUAUUGCCUUCGCUGGGCAGCUACGAGAGCCUCCACCAUCUCAUAUAGUCUGUCAAGAUCCUCCCGAAGCGAAUUAUCCUGAGCUGCUCGGUUUAGUGGGGGCCUUCCUCUCCUCAUUCCCGUGUACCUGUUUUCGCAAGGAAUGAUUGAGUAACGAUAUAUCGGUGAGUAUUUAUCUAAGGCACUAUUGUGUAAGGGAUGGGUCCGAGGAAACGCGGCUCUGAUACCAAUUGUAACGACCCCAGAAAUAUUAAAAUGAAAUGAGUAUUUAAAUAUAUCAAAUGCGGAAGCGAGAUCAAAAUUUCAUUUAACAUCCCUUACACGAAAAAAACCAAAAACGUGCUUAAAAU
Molecule: long non-coding RNA, 417 nt
Filed under: Carica papaya (papaya)
Lineage: Eukaryota; Viridiplantae; Streptophyta; Magnoliopsida; Brassicales; Caricaceae
Description: long non-coding RNA (CPAP_LNC013414)
Source: RNAcentral